Molecule: long non-coding RNA, 265 nt
Filed under: Solanum tuberosum (potato)
Lineage: Eukaryota; Viridiplantae; Streptophyta; Magnoliopsida; Solanales; Solanaceae
Description: long non-coding RNA (STUB_LNC004842)
Source: RNAcentral
AAAUAAGGAAAGAAAAACUUACCUGCUGGUCCACGUAUCAGGCAGCAACAUCAAAAGAAGUUACACGCACAAAAUUGGAAGCUACACGCGGAGAAAAAGGAAUCCAAUUCCUUUCGGGUUUUGAUUUCCUAAUUUGUUUGGACUCAAUUAUUUUAUUUAGGGUUUCCUACAUCUAUAAAUAGGGCAUGGAAAUAAUUAUUUGGGAGGCCAAGAACCAAGAUACAAGACACAAUAUAAAUUUUCUUCUAGCUUAGGAACUUUGGAA